AACGCGAAGAACCUUACCUGGGCUCGAACGGCUUUAGAUCAUCCUUGGAAACAGGGACUUCCCGCAAGGGACUGGAGUCGAGGUGCUGCAUGGCUGUCGUCAGCUCGUGUCGUGAGAUGUUGGGUUAAGUCCCGCAACGAGCGCAACCCUUGUCCUGUGUUGGCAUGCCGCAAGGCGCAACUCUCAGGAGACCGCCAGCGAUAAGUUGGAGGAAGGUGGGGAUGACGUCAAGUCCUCAUGGCCUUUAUGUCCAGGGCUACACACGUGCUACAAUGGCCGGUACAAACCGUCGCAAACCCGCGAGGGGGAGCUAAUCGGAAAAAGCCGGCCUCAGUUCGGAUCGCAGUCUGCAACUCGACUGCGUGAAGCUGGAAUCGCUAGUAAUCGCGGAUCAGAACGCCGCGGUGAAUACGUUCCCGGGCCUUGUACACACCGAUAGC
This 440-nucleotide ribosomal RNA is filed under the name uncultured bacterium. RNAcentral describes it as "bacterial SSU rRNA". It matches the Rfam family "Bacterial small subunit ribosomal RNA", at positions 958 to 1397 of the family's 1533-position model. The record is from RNAcentral.